RNAcentral lists this small RNA (72 nucleotides) under Sinorhizobium meliloti 2011. RNAcentral describes it as "putative ncRNA". Lineage: Bacteria; Pseudomonadati; Pseudomonadota; Alphaproteobacteria; Hyphomicrobiales; Rhizobiaceae. The record is from RNAcentral.
AUCGUUCUUCAGGGCGCGCAGGACCGACCAGCCGUCCUGAUGCGGCAUGAUGAUGUCGAGAAUGAUCGCGUC